UGGGGAAUAUUGCACAAUGGGCGCAAGCCUGAUGCAGCCAUGCCGCGUGUAUGAAGAAGGCCUUCGGGUUGUAAAGUACUUUCAGCGAGGAGGAAGGCGGUAAGGUUAAUAACCUUAUCGAUUGACGUUACUCGCAGAAGAAGCACCGGCUAACUCCGUGCCAGCAGCCGCGGUAAUACGGAGGGUGCAAGCGUUAAUCGGAAUUACUGGGCGUAAAGCGCACGCAGGCGGUCUGUCAAGUCGGAUGUGAAAUCCCCGGGCUCAACCUGGGAACGGCAUUCGAAACUGGCAGGCUAGAGUCUUGUAGAGGGGGGUAGAAUUCCAGGUGUAGCGGUGAAAUGCGUAGAGAUCUGGAGGAAUACCGGUGGCGAAGGCGGCCCCCUGGACAAAGACUGACGCUCAGGUGCGAAAGCGUGGGGAGCAAACA
Molecule: ribosomal RNA, 427 nt
Filed under: uncultured bacterium
Lineage: Bacteria
Description: partial 16S ribosomal RNA
Rfam family: Bacterial small subunit ribosomal RNA
Source: RNAcentral